CAGGGCCCUCUGCUGGCUGGCUACCCAAACCACAGCCAGCUAAUACCACCAGGGUUCACCAGUCUCAGGGCUCUGGCAGGAACAUGCAAAGGAAACUCUCGAGCAGCAUCCCCCCUAUAAGGCCUUUCAAACCACAGCUUACAUAUUCCAGGCCCCGCUCAAAAUCAACUCCUGAUUCAAGUGGUGGGUACAGCUGUUUCCAUGUGGUGAAACCCUACAAAGCUGGACACUACAUCAUCCACCCUGAGUUCAUGUCAGAGUGGCUGCACUAAUCCCUGCACUAAGGAGUGUUGGCCUUACUGAUGUAACCUCAUUUAUGUCAUUUGAUCUUCUACCAACUAAUGAAGGCGAUCAUGUCAUCAAAAAUA
Molecule: long non-coding RNA, 368 nt
Organism: Pygocentrus nattereri (red-bellied piranha)
Lineage: Eukaryota; Metazoa; Chordata; Actinopteri; Characiformes; Serrasalmidae
Exons: 3
Source: RefSeq, a predicted model, not a curated record